GCAAAUGAGGCAAGGUUGUGCUCAGCAAAGUAUUAAUCACGACCUCUGGCGGUGAAAAGGAUAAGUGCAGCAUCUGUGACCACUCCCAUCUUGCACUUUGGUAAUAUUUCGCAAGGUGUCGUGUUUGAACCGUCGCUGUUUGGGACUCCAUCACGUGCGUUGUGAACCCUGACCAACACGAUCCGACGAUAGCUCAGUUGGUAGAGCGGAGGACUGUAGUGGUUAAUGCUGUCAUCCUUAGAUGGGCCCUUGCUGCAGAGAUGGAUUGCUGCGACCCAGUGAAUAACUGAGCAGGUCCUCCGGAGGGUGAUGCUUUAUGUACUGUACAUGGCAAGAGGUUUGAUAUUGAAGCUACACUGUAUCAUAAUACUAAUUAAUGUAUGUAAGCCUGAGAGGUUACAUGUCUGAACUUCACUCUCAAAAUUGUAAAUAAAACUAGUAGACACGUCAUGUUUAUCUUAUUAUAUAGAAGUCUCUUGGUGCAUGUAGGUCAAGGAGCAUGAACUGAUGAACGAGGGACUUUGAACCCCCAAUAAAGUUUCCUUUCAAAUCAGGCCCAAUUUACAUGUUGAAUUCGAAGAUAAAGUUUGGUAACUGCAUACCUACAUGAAAUAUUUGUAGAGCUUUUAUAAAUUCUACGUAACCAUUUAGUAUUGUGAUGUUCACCUUUAACUAACUUGCACAUACAAAAUGUAUCUGAAGUAUGAUAUCCCCAUCAGUUGCCAAUAACUGUUGAUGUGUAAUAUUUUUUUGAUUAUGCAAAUUACGCCCUUAUUUGCAUGUUUGGUAUCUGUAUAUGCUCUGACAUAAUACAACUUCUUAUUGUGCUAAAAACUAGAAUUACAGAUUUUCCUCAUAUGUCAUGCAAAUUAAGUCCUUAUUUGUACAACUUGCAUCUAAUGGUGUACACCCCUGUCUAAGCUAUCUGCAUGCAAAGACUAAAGGAAAUAUCUCCUUAAUUUUUGCAGUCAUCUUCUUUGAAACAUUUUAACCAAAAAGUCCCAGGGGCUUUUUAAAAUUAUCUGCUAUUAGGCCCAAACCGAUACCAAGUUCUUUCCUGACAUCAAAUGCUAUCUGCUACACAGACAUCCACACAAUUAUAGCAUGUCCAGGACAAAAGACACUUUUGUACAUUGACAAAAACAUUGUGAUGCAAGUUCCUCAUUAAUUAUCUAACAGUACGCAAUUGUUGCUUCAUUUUGCCUUAUUUUCAUCUGCUUGUGUAUGUCUCUGUUUAAUUUGCUAACCUGAAUAUUCCAAAUCAUGAAAACCUGUUUUUCCUUUUUAGUGCUUCUAUGGAGGCU
Branchiostoma floridae (Florida lancelet) is the source of this 1304-nucleotide long non-coding RNA. RefSeq lists it as uncharacterized. The record is from RefSeq and is a predicted model, not a curated record. The transcript has 3 exons. NCBI's taxonomy places the organism in Eukaryota, Metazoa, Chordata, Leptocardii, Amphioxiformes, Branchiostomatidae.